RNAcentral lists this non-coding RNA (21 nucleotides) under Caenorhabditis elegans. The record is from RNAcentral. Lineage: Eukaryota; Metazoa; Nematoda; Chromadorea; Rhabditida; Rhabditidae.
UUGUACACAAACAUGUUAGGC